AACGUAGGAGACAAACGUUAUCCGGAGUUACUGGGCGUAAAGGGCGUGCAGGCGGUCUGUUAAGUUCGUUGUGAAAGCCCCGGGCUCAACCUGGGAAUGGCAAUGGAAACUGGCGGGCUGGAGUAUGGCAGAGGGGGGUGGAAUUCCGCGUGUAGCAGUGAAAUGCGUAGAGAUGCGGAGGAACACCGAUGGCGAAGGCAGCCCCCUGGGCCAAUACUGACGCUCAUGCACGAAAGCGUGGGGAGCAAACAGG
This 253-nucleotide ribosomal RNA is filed under the name uncultured bacterium. RNAcentral describes it as "partial 16S ribosomal RNA". It matches the Rfam family "Bacterial small subunit ribosomal RNA", at positions 524 to 776 of the family's 1533-position model. The record is from RNAcentral.